This 420-nucleotide ribosomal RNA is filed under the name uncultured bacterium. RNAcentral describes it as "bacterial SSU rRNA". It matches the Rfam family "Bacterial small subunit ribosomal RNA", at positions 355 to 775 of the family's 1533-position model. The record is from RNAcentral.
UGGGGAAUCUUGCGCAAUGGCCGAAAGGCUGACGCAGCGACGCCGCGUGGGGGAUGAAGGCCUUCGGGUCGUAAACCCCUGUUGCCCGGGACGAACAGCCUAAUUCGUUAGGCCUGACGGUACCGGGUGAGGAAGCACCGGCUAACUCUGUGCCAGCAGCCGCGGUAAUACAGAGGGUGCGAGCGUUGUCCGGAAUCACUGGGCGUAAAGGGCGCGUAGGCGGCUUCUUAAGCGUGUGGUGAAAGCGCGGGGCUCAACCCCGCGUCGGCCGUGCGAACUGGGGAGCUGGAGCACGUCAGAGGCAGGCGGAAUUCCGGGUGUAGCGGUGGAAUGCGUAGAGAUCCGGAAGAACACCGGUGGCGAAGGCGGCCUGCUGGGACGUGGCUGACGCUGAGGCGCGACAGCGUGGGGAGCAAACAG